GGGCAGGUAGUUCAGUGGUUAGAACGCUGCUCUGAUAAAGCAGAGGUCGGAGGUUCGAUUCCUCCCCUGCCCAC
This 74-nucleotide transfer RNA is filed under the name bacterium HR34. RNAcentral's name for it is "tRNA-Ile". It matches the Rfam family "tRNA". From Rfam's summary of the family: Transfer RNA (tRNA) molecules are approximately 80 nucleotides in length. Their secondary structure includes four short double-helical elements and three loops (D, anti-codon, and T loops). The record is from RNAcentral.